UUUUAGAUUCUGAACCAAAAAAAAAGGAAAUUGCAAAUGUGAAAGUCAAAUGCAUUGCUUGUGCUAGCCGCAUUGAAAGUAGGGUUGUUAAAGGAGUUGUUUCUAAGAAGAAUGUGACUCAUCGUCGCAUGACAUCAAAAGUUGAUAAACCUCGCAUGUUGAUCCUUGGAGGGGCUCUUGAGUACAGGCACUCAAAUUGUGCCUUCAAUUGAUCAUCUUUCAUCACCAAAGUUGGGUUACUAUGAAGCUUUUCAUGUUGAAAAGUUUGUUGAAAAUCUGAGCAGUUCUGCUGCUCAAGGUAGUUUAGGGAACUGGAUGGUAGAUUUGACUGAUUAGUGUUUAUUGCAAUGCUUGUAUUUUGGUAAGUUUAGUAAGACAAGGUUUUGUAUAGGAGUUAUUACUUUUGAUUUUCAAUAAUAAAAAAUUAUAUAUUAUAUUAA
Molecule: non-coding RNA, 440 nt
Organism: Arachis ipaensis
Lineage: Eukaryota; Viridiplantae; Streptophyta; Magnoliopsida; Fabales; Fabaceae
Source: RefSeq, a predicted model, not a curated record